AGUGAACGCUGGCGGUAGGCCUAACACAUGCAAGUCGAACGGCAGCACGGUAAGAGCUUGCUCUUACGGGUGGCGAGUGGCGGACGGGUGAGGAAUACAUCGGAAUCUACUUUUUCGUGGGGGAUAACGUAGGGAAACUUACGCUAAUACCGCAUACGACCUACGGGUGAAAGCAGGGGAUCUUCGGACCUUGCGCGAUUGAAUGAGCCGCUGUCGGAUUAGCUAGUUGGCGGGGUAAAGGCCCACCAAGGCGACGAUCCGUAGCUGGUGUGAGAGGAUGAUCAGCCACACUGGAACUGAGACACGGUCCAGAGUCCUACGGGAGGCAGCAGUGGGGAAUAUUAGACAAAGGGCGCAAGCCUGAUCCAGCCAUACCGCGUGGGUGAAGAAGGCCUUCGGGUUGUAAAGCCCUUUUGUUGGGAAAGAAAAGCAGCAGGUUAAUACCCCGCUGUUCUGACGGUACCCAAAGAAUAAGCACCGGCUAACUUCGUG
RNAcentral lists this ribosomal RNA (492 nucleotides) under uncultured bacterium. RNAcentral describes it as "partial 16S ribosomal RNA". It matches the Rfam family "Bacterial small subunit ribosomal RNA", at positions 29 to 507 of the family's 1533-position model. The record is from RNAcentral.